Molecule: ribosomal RNA, 123 nt
Filed under: Salvator merianae (Argentine black and white tegu)
Lineage: Eukaryota; Metazoa; Chordata; Lepidosauria; Squamata; Teiidae
Source: RNAcentral
ACUAACCUCAGCAUUUAGGCUGCCUCUCACUGCUCAUGUCUGAGUGCUGAAGCUACACAGGUUGAAUACUGUUAGUGCUUGGAUGGGAGGCCACCUGGGAAUACAAGGUGUUGUAGGUUAGUC